This 8298-nucleotide long non-coding RNA is filed under the name Homo sapiens (human). RNAcentral describes it as "non-protein coding lnc-SMIM12-1:4". Lineage: Eukaryota; Metazoa; Chordata; Mammalia; Primates; Hominidae. The record is from RNAcentral.
GAAGCCUUCAGUCUCUAUGCACGCAGCAUGCCUUCCCAGCCUCCUGUGGUUGUAGAGUGUAUAGAAGGCAGUUGGAUCACUAUGGACAGCGGGUAAGAGCUGAGGAAGCAGCCUCCGCCAGGUGGUAACAUGGAGGACCCUGAAGUCCUCUCUCUUUCAGCCACACCCUGAAUUGUACUCUGUUACCUUAGAAGUAGUGCAUUUGAUGGUUGUUUUGAAAAAAUAAAUGAAUGAAGGAGGACCAGUUCAUAUUACCCUUCAAAAAGGCAUAGACCAUUGGCCAUUCUCUGACCAUCUCAAGCCAGAGGUGACUUGAUCUGUCACCCAGCUGUGGCCCAUGAGCAUUAUCUAAGGAGGAACAUUUUUGCUUACGUUUCCAGUGCUCUACAUAAGCCCUAGGCCCUGGGAGGCACUGAAAUGCUCAAUGGGAGCUCCAUGUGUGCAGGCUUAUGGACUGAAAUACUACUUUCAUGGCUCUGGCUAUGAACAUCAGCAUAUAGAGAAUGGAUCACUACCAAAGAAGGCACCCGAAUGUGUCUGUCUCAUCCUGGGGAAACUCAUUCAUCUGUAUAUGUACUCAGCAAGUGUUUCCUGGCACCUGCUCUGGGUCACAGUGCUGGGCACUGGAAGCUGAGAGAUGUGGAAGAAGGCUGGACAUUCAAGAUGAGAAGCCCGAGGCUGGUAAACUAGAGUCCAAGGGCAGAAAGCUGGGACAAUGGCUGGAGGAAGAAAUGAGAGGAUCUCUAUACCCAGGCCUUGGCUUCUAUGUCCCUUCUCGAAGUGGUUGAAGUGCAGAUUUCUGAUUCUGUACCCAGCCUCCAGGGACACAGUACACAGUAUGCUGGGAAUGGCGGUGGGUGUUUGAGGUACAUUACUUCCAGACAAAACAUGGCUGCAGAGGGAUACCAAAAGCAUCUUCUGGUGGCUGAAGCCCUGUCUGCACAAGUGUCUGUGUUCUUCAAUGGUUCAGGCAAGCUCAGACAGACCCUCUGCUUCUCUUAACCUGAGACACUAGUUUCCCCAAGAACUUUGAGCUGAAGGUUCCUUGCUGUGUCCCCUACCUGGCUGUGAGGACUUUGAGUAUAAUUAUCCUAUCUUAUUUGUUGCUGUGCUCCCAGUGUCUUGGAUGGAGCCUGACAUCUAGUCAGUGUUAGUAAAUGUUGAUGUGUAUUGAAUUUUGCAAGGAUCUGCAGCCCUGAGAAGAGGGGAUACUUCUUGGAAACCUCUGUGGGCUAAAUUGAGGGUUAAGGACUGGGACUGGAAGGCAGAGAUUCCAGAGUGAUAACCACAGUAGUUACUAUUUCAUGAGAGCCUCCAUGUGCCAGCCUCUAAGCUAGGCCCAUACCAUGCAUUACCUCUUGUCCCCACUUUACAGAAACUAAGGCUUAGACAAGUUAAGCAACUUGCUAAAGAUCAAACAACUCAAUAUGUGUUGGAGUCAAAUGAACGCAUUUCUUUUCCAUUUCCCUCAUUUACUCCACUAAUGACAGUACUUAAAUUGUAGACUAGGAAUUAAAAUAGCAGAAGCCUGACUUGAGAGGGCAGAGCCCCUGCGUUUGAGUGCCUGAAAGUCAGUCAUGGGUAGAAAGAACAGUCUUGUAGCAGAGCUCUGGGCAAGGGAGGAGCCGUGAGCAGGUGGACAUGAACUCACUGUGACAACUCUCCAACAGUGAAAGCAGGUUCCCAUGGAAUCCAGGGAAAUUACUGAAUAACUUUCAACACAAAAAUGUGUGCUAGUGAGCUGUAGAGCCUUUAUAUCCCCCCAAAACAUAUUAUGGGGGUGGGGGGGGGGCGCGGAAUUCUGAAUUUUUGUUGUUGUUGUUGUUGUUGAGACAGAGUUUUGCUGUUGUUGCCCAGGCUGGAGUGCAAUGGCACAAUCUUGGCUCUCCACAACCUCCGCCUCCUGGAUUCAAGCGAUUCUCCUGCCCCAGCCUCCAGAGUAGGGGCUGGGAUUGUAGACAUGCGCCACCACGCCUGGCUAAUUUUGUAUUUUUAGUAGAGAUAGGGUUUCUGCAUGUUGAUCAGGCUGGUCUCGAACUCCUGACCUCAGGUGAUCCACCCGCCUUGGCCUCCCAAAGUGCUGGGAUUACAGGUGUGUGCCACGGCGCCCGGCCUAAGUAAAUAGUUUGGAAAGCUGCAUCCAAUAGUCUCUUUUGAAGAUUCACAAUGCACCCUAGCUUGUUAACUAUUCCAAGAAGUCCCCGGAAAAGAAUGCUUGUUUGACUUUCUUGAAUCCAGUGUUGCCCAUGUUUAUUUGACUAGUGAGCAGGUUUUUUUGUUUGUUUGUUUGUUUUUUAAGUGACACUUUUUAACACUCUGAGGCAGUAAUAUUGUACUGAACACAUGGGGAAUCUUCUGUGGAAGUUUGGCCUGGAAUACAUCCUCUGUGUUCCUUCUCGCCCCGUGGCUGAGUGAGUGUGCUGUAAAAGCUUAGUGACAGAAAAGCCCCACUUAGCCUAUUUGUGAUGAUUUCCUAAACCGGGCAAAUAACUCAUCUGAAUGGCUGAGGUGAUAAACUCACAGGAGGAGAAGAUGCUGGAGGAAGUGUCAUGUGUCCUGCAUGUAGGUACCACUUCACCUCCCAGCAAGGCGAUGCUGAUAGCAACGUUUUCCUUGGGUGUUGAAUUUUCCAUCCUGCAAUUACGUCUUAAGCCAUAGAUAAAAUUCACAUCCACGUUUCACUCAAGAUAAACCUAACAUCAUAAUAAUACAGAAGAUUAAUUCAUUGGGGAAAAAUAGAAGAAAAUUGGUCUUGGCUUAAAGAGAAGUCAACAUUUAGAAUGUGUAGAAGGGGAUUUCUUCUGGAUCACACUCUGUCCUCAACAGUGGCAUGUGAAAAUGUAUGUGGUUCGCUUUAGUGCAUGCAUGUUUGUGCCUGUCCCACUGACACAUCCACAGUGUGACCCAUAGAGGUCCACUUCUAAGACCCCUAACUCUGAGUCCAACCCACCCUUUUGGGCUCACUGCAGUCAUUUCUCUCUGAAGUCUUCCUUGACAACCUAGGCAUCAUCAGUUUUUCUCUUCUCUGAUCAUCUUAGCAAGUGUAUCCAUAAGCUAUAAUCACAAUCAUGCUGCAUAACAAAACCAAAAACUCAAUGGCCAAUAACAAUGAACAUUUAUUUUUUGUUUUCAUGUCUAGAGGCCAGGUGGGGGGUGGCUGAUCUAAGCUGGGUUUUGCUCUAGGUUAGAUUUAGUCUAGGUUGGCCUCACAUGUCUCUCAUUCUUCAGGUGUCAGGAGGCCACCAUGGGCCUGAUCUUCAGGACAGAUGCCUCUUAAGACUUGGGCUUUGACUCAUACACUGUUACUGCCACCCAUGUCCUGUUGGCCAAAGUCAAUUUCAUUACCAAGCCCAAGAUCUGUGGAGUGGAGAAAUGCAUUUUGAAGGGGAGGGAGUCAAUCUGUAAUGAGCACCAUGAUGUACCAUAGAGCAUUUGUAGUCAUGAGCCUGAUUUAGACACUUGGUGGGGUAUCUCUGUGCUCUUAGGAAUUGUGUCUCUGUGUCUGUCAGAGGUGAUAACAUUGGAGCUGAGCCUUAAAAAAUAAAAGUUUCCUCAAACACCUCUGUGACUUCUGUGAUGCCUUCUGUUCACCACCCACAGUAGCACUGAAGGAAGAAAAGUAGUAACAUGUGAAGUGCAUAGGCAGCCCAGGGAGUCAUGCAUCCUAGUUCUGCAAGGAGGGUGCCCCUAGCCAGCCCUUGAUUGCCUCCCAGUUUUGGAGUUUGUAAGAGUCACAAAUAAUCACACUUCCCUCUCCUCAAAGUUCUGAACCAACUAAAAAUUAUACAUGGGAAUUUGAUGGGGAUGAAAAUAUGGACUUUAUAAGUAAAAAUGAAUUUGAGAACAGCUUGGACCUGAAGCUGAAGGGGUUUCCUUGAUACUUUUCAUCUGGAUCCUGUAGUCCACCUGAGGGUAGUUGUGGGUCUUCAUGGUGGACUUUUAACCAGAUGCAUGAAAAAUUGUGGCCAGGAGAGAGGCCACACCUGAGAGGGAUGUUUACACAUGAGAAACAUAGACCAGUGGGUGUCAGCCUCUUGCCACCUCAACAAUUAUGCCAAUUUCUCCUACACACAAAUGAAGGAGAGAAGAGCUAAGUGUGAAAGGAAAGAUGGAACUCUGUCCUCCCCAUCUAAUCCGGGAUGGAAGCUGUCUGUUGCAGGGACCAGCAUGAGGUGGGGAGGAAGGAUGACCCCGGUGAUCUAGAAAAUGGGACUGAUGCUAUUUAGACGGCUGCCAUCACUGAGUCAGCGGGUGUGGGCUUCUUUAUGCACUUGCUAGAAAUGGGCCAUCAGGCCACUCCUAGUGUGCCCUGGAGCAACUUGUUCUUGUCUGCAAGUCCAGAUGCAGAACACCUAACUCCACUCCACUUCAUCCCCAAAUCCCAACCCGUCUUCACUCAUUUCCGACUGAACCAAGCCACCUGAGUGUCGUGAGUUCACCUGUGUGUUCUUGCCAUCUCCUGGGAUGGAGUCCCCACAGGUCAGAACACUUGAACUCAUUGUGUAGAACCAGAUUCUCUCCCACACUUUUCUCUCUCCUCUCAGAGGCCAAUUUGUUCUGCAGUCAAUUCUGCAGAAGUUAGAAAUAAAGCAUGGUGACCAAUCAGAGAUGAGAGAGGGUGUGGUUGGGCUGAGAGUCACUUUUCAGAGCUUAUGAAAAGCUGCAAACCCGGUGGAUGGCUUACACUCUUUCCUCAAGGGCAACACACUGAGUGAGAGGGUGCUGGAGGGGGAUGCUGGGGAAAGCGAGCUUGUAUUCAAGGAGGCCUGUGGUGUCAUUAUUUACAGUGUCACACCUGAUCCUCCCAACGACCCCAUCUCUAGGCUCUGGAAGUUAGUGGUUAAGAGCACAUCUCUCAGGCUUGUUCACAUACAGUUGUGUGACCUUGGGCAAGUCUCUGUGCCUCAGUUUACUCAUCUGUAGAAUGUUGGUAGAGGAGGAUAUUAAGAGUAACUACCACAUAGUGGUGCUGGGAGGAUAAAAUGAUUUAAUAGAUGUGAUGGGCAGCUGUGGGGAUGGCUCCCAGUGAUCCCUGUCUCCAGGUAUCCAUGCCCUUGCUUGUAAGGAAGAGAAUAUGGCAAAGUUGAUAGGCUGUCUCUUCCAAGAUCAGGUUACAAGAGACUGUGAACUCCCUCUUGCUUACUUUCUCUUACUCUCUUUCUUACUCCAGUGGAAACCAACAGCGUGUUACGAGCUGCCCAGUGGAGAAACCCACACUACAAGAAACUGUGGAUGGCCUCCUCUGGUCAAUAGCCAGCUAGGAAUAAGGCCUUCAUCCAAUAGCCCAUGAGGAACUGAAUCCUGCCAAAAACCACACACGUGAGCUUAGAAGCAGAUCUUUCCCCAGUAGAGCCUUGAAAUGACUGCUGCCCCCACCUGACACCUUAACUGUGGUCUGUGUGAGACUCUGAAACAGGGGGCCCAGCUAAGCCAAGCCCAUAUUCCUGACCCACAGACGCUUUGAGAUAAUAUUGAAUAAAUUCUUGUGGUGUUAAGCCACUGAGUUUUAGGGUAAUUUGUUAGACAGCGAUAGAUAACGAAGACAAUACAUUAACAAUUCUUAAGAUACCCAGUGGAUAGUAAACCUUCAAUAGAUAUUGACUGUCUUUAUUAUUAAUAUCUCAGUUUCACAGAUGAGACAAAUGAGGCUCAGAGUGACUUCCCAGAGUUCGACAGUUAAUAUGCAGUAGAGUAGGGGCUCUGCCUUUGUUCUAUCUGACUUCAAAGUCAGUGCUCUCAAAGCAUCACUAUUUGGAAGACUCAGCUCCUUGAGGUGCCUAAGCAGGAUUUGUAGAAAAACAGAGGGCAGAUUUCCAUGGGCUGCCUUAGAUAGGUGAAUGACCCCUUAAGGCUGUAGAGGGCCAGGCCUAGGGCUGGGGAGAGCCAUGGCCAGCUCUUCAGGGAGUCUACAUGGGUAGGAGGACUAGCUCCUGCACCCAAACUUCACUAGGGGCUAGGUCUUCCAGCACAUGGGAGAACCAACGCAUGGCUGAGUCUGCUCCUAGAGUUUGUAAGAUGCUGUGUACUGAGAAAUGGAGCUCUGGUCUCUCCUCGCCCUCUGCUAUAGUUUCAAUGUGUUCCCCAAAAAGCAUGUGUUGGAAACUUAAUCCCCAAUGCAACAGUGUUGGGAAGUAGGGCCUAAUGGGAGGUGUUUAGGGCAUGAGGUCUCUGUCCUCAUGAAUGGAUUAAUGCCGAUUAUAAAAGGUCUUGAGCAUGUGAGUUCAUUCUCUUGCUCUCUCACAAUGCUGUCUUGCCCUUCCACCGUGAGCCAUGGGAUGAUGUAGGAAUCAUCCCAUGAUUGGUGGCACCUUCAUAUUAGACUAUGUUGGACUUCGCAGCCUCCAGAACUGUGAUAAACAAAUACCUUAUAAGUUACGACACCUCUGAUAUUGUGUUAUAGCAACACAAAACAGACUGAGACUCUUUCUCUCAUUCCCUCUGGGAGCUCAUGAACUAGGAGCCUGAGAUAAGCCCCAUUCAGAGGAGUCUCAUCUGAGCAAAGGCCGUUUUCGUUGCUAUCCUAUCAUGCUAUAGACAGCAAUGAUGAAUCAACUUAGCUGAUCGGAGGGCAGUCAGCACCAUCAGAAACAACAUGUCCUCUUAGCACAGUAACUGCUGGGAACAUCUACAAGAUUCCUCAGGGUGUAUGGGCAACAGACACAGGGAGCGUGCAGAGAGGCAGGUGGCACAGCCCCUGAUAUCUGCGGUGGUGAGACGCACAAUGGGAGCAGAUUCAAGCUUCACCACACAGACACUCAAAGAAUCAACGGAUACACGGAGACACCCAGGCACCUGCAUUAAUACCCAUAUACUCCCAGACACAUGGCCACACUCAUAGACACACCUACAGAAUGACACACUCAGACAUUCAGUGUGAAAGACACAAAUGCUCAGAUAAAUGCCCAGGUGGUAGGGAGGAACAUUAAAAUCCCACAACUCAUGUUUCCAGGGAGGGGAAGUCUUUUCCAUUGCACCAUGCAGGAGGGAAAAGUAUUGAAGGAACACUUCUUGCCCUUGUCCAUCCCCUCACCCAUUUCUCCCCAGAGGAGAGUUGGUGAGUUUGGGGGAGGAACAGAGCAUGCUCAGUCUAGUCUCCCCUAGGGCUUCUCUGUCUUUUACCCUGCCUGCCUGCAGAGGGGAAACAACAUUCUCAUCAGUCCUCUGGUACUGGGUGGCCUCUCAGGGUCGGCUUGGCCCCUCUGGGGAGUUGCCUGGUGUGACCAGUGCCGAUGGACACGUCUAUCUAAUUCAUUGGGGAAGAAUUUGCAGACCCUUUGGCUACAUAUCCAAAGCCACAUUCUUUACUUGACUGUACCCAGUAAUAGAGCUGACAUUCUGAUCUUCACCUCUAUCUCUGAGGCCUUAUUUCUCAGUUGGUGUCAAACUUGCGAUUCCCCGGUUCCAACACCAAAUAUUCCCACUUAGAGGAAAAACAGAAACAUGGACAAAUGUUCAAAGACACAGCAGAGAAACAUAGAUGAGAUGGUACAUUUGCUCUCCUGAGUGGAGGGAGGAUGGUUAGAAGAGCAGUUCAUGAGUCUGGCUGGGUGUUAGAAUCACCUGGGAAGAAUUACAAAUAGGUACUCAUGUCUGGGUCCUACUCCAGACAAACUGAUUCAGAAUCUACUGGGUCAGGGCCUGGGCAGUGGUCAAUUUUAAAGCUCCCCAGGUGAUUCUAACAGGCAGCUUCCCCACUCCCCAGCACUCCAUGAGGAGCAAAAGAGUGUUGGUGACUGGGGGCCUAACCCAUCGGUCACAGACCUCCCUCAGACGUCACUUGCUUCCAGCUAUAGCUCCAAAUUUCUCUCCUAUGGACAUUCUGGGGAUUCUGGUAGCAGCUGAGGGCUGUGCACUAAGCAGGCAAUUGCCUUUGGCUGCUGCUCUUCUGACUCUUCUAACUCUUCUGGUGGACCAUGGGGGCUGUCUCACCACUCUUCAAGCAGAAGUCCCUCACUCCUGCCUUGGAUCCCCAACACGUACGGAUGCUUAGGUCGACAUGGUAUUUUUCCUCUUGCUUUCAGUCUAGCUUCCUGUUGCAUCUCUGCUUGGUUGGCCCCUGGCAGAGCAGGUGCACAGGACACCGAGUGGAGAACUGGCCCCAGUGACAGUGGCUCGGCACAUGCUCUUCAUCCCAUAGCCAAAGGCACUUUCUUUGUGAUGCAUGGAGGCCAAACUCUUCUGCCAGCAACAGAGAAGCAAGGCCAGGCUGAUGGCUGCAAAAUGAGAGCGUGGUGUAAAGAUGGGAGCAGAGGUGGCGUGUACCCAUCCAGUGGCCUUGAUGCUUCUGUGAAUAUGGAG